GUGCUCACUUUGGCAGCACAUACACUAACACUGGAACGCUACAGAGAGAUUAGCAUGGUCUCUGUGCAAGGAUGACAUGCAAAGUUGUGAAGUGUUCCAUAUUUUU
This is a small nuclear RNA of Nannospalax galili (Upper Galilee mountains blind mole rat), 106 nucleotides long. NCBI's taxonomy places the organism in Eukaryota, Metazoa, Chordata, Mammalia, Rodentia, Spalacidae. The record is from Ensembl.